This 271-nucleotide long non-coding RNA is filed under the name Cyanistes caeruleus (blue tit). RNAcentral's name for it is "lncRNA (ENSCCEG00000022453.1)". Lineage: Eukaryota; Metazoa; Chordata; Aves; Passeriformes; Paridae. The record is from RNAcentral.
AGUUUAAACACUGGGCUUGGUGAGCACCUCGUGGGAUCCCGAAUGCCGUGUCCAGCGUGCCUCCCAGCCCCUGAGGACAGCAGCUAGGAGACACCCAGGGCUGUGCCUGGAGCCAGCAGCAGCACACAGGCUCAGAGGUCUGUCAAGGAGCUUUACGCAGCCGUGACUCAGAGAGAGGCAUCAGUGGAGAGAGUCUGUAGACACAGCCAGCAGCUGUCAUGUGGAGGGCAUUAAUAAUGUAUAUGCAGGUAUCUAUGCAUGACCCAUGAGC